Molecule: ribosomal RNA, 329 nt
Filed under: uncultured eukaryote
Lineage: Eukaryota
Description: partial 18S ribosomal RNA
Rfam family: Eukaryotic small subunit ribosomal RNA
Source: RNAcentral
CCCUUAGAUGUUCUGGGCCGCACGCGCGCUACACUGACAGAGCCAGCGAGUUUUUUUCCUUGGCCGGAAGGUCUGGGUAAUCUUGUGAAACUCUGUCGUGCUGGGGAUAGAGCAUUGCAAUUAUUGCUCUUCAACGAGGAAUUCCUAGUAAGCGUGAGUCAUCAGCUCGCGUUGAUUACGUCCCUGCCCUUUGUACACACCGCCCGUCGCUACUACCGAUUGAAUGGCUUAGUGAGGUCUUGGGAUUGGCUUCGGGGAGCCGGCAACGGCACCCUGUCGCUGAGAACUUGAUCAAACUUGGUCAUUUAGAGGAAGUAAAANUCGUANCA